RNAcentral lists this long non-coding RNA (469 nucleotides) under Mytilus galloprovincialis (Mediterranean mussel). Lineage: Eukaryota; Metazoa; Mollusca; Bivalvia; Mytilida; Mytilidae. The record is from RNAcentral.
GUGAUUGAAAACCUUACGACAUGUGUCAUGGUUUAACUUUAUUCUUGUAAGGCAUAACUUACAAAAAUAAAAUUGAGAAAGGGAAUGGGGAAUGUGUCAAAGCACACAACAACCCGACCAUAGAGCAGACAACAGCCGAAUGCCACCAAUGGGUCUUCAAUGUAGCGAGAAACUCCCGUACCCGUAGGCGUCUGGACCCUUAAAAAAUAUGUAUUCUAGUACAGUGAUAAUGGACGUCACACUAAACUCCAAAUUAAAAACAAGAAACUAAAAUUAAAAAUCAUACAAGACUAACAAAGGCCAUAGGCUCCUGACUUGGGACAGGCGCAAAAUUGCGGCGGGGUUAAACAUGUUAUGAGAUCUCCACCCUCCCCUAUACCUCUAGCCAAUGUAGAAAAUUAAACGCAUAACAAUACGCACAUUAAAAUUCAGUUCAAAAGAAGUCCGAGUCCGAUGUCAGAAGAUGAAC